UGUAUUCGAGUAUUUAUUGGUUGUAGCUGGUCUUCGUGAGAUGACAUGUGCACGCCUUUAAAACUCAAUUACCCCCUGUGCACAUUUGUAGGCUUUUGUCUACGUUUUCUUACACACACUAUAAAAGUUUAGAAUGUUUGGUUUUGGCAAUAUUUAUACAACUUUCAACAAUGGAUCUCUUGGUUCUCGCAUCGAUGAAGAACGCAGCGAAACGCGAUAAGUAAUGUGAAUUGCAGAAUUCAGUGAAUCAUCGAAUCUUUGAACGCACCUUGCGCACCUUGGUAUUCCAAGGGGCAUGCCUGUUUGAGUGUCAUUAAAUUAUCAAUCACUUUUUUCUUUUUUUCAAAAGAAAAAAAAGAUGAUUUGGAUGUGGAGUGUUGCUGGCUGUCAAAGUCAGCUCCUCUUGAAUGCAUUAGCGUGUACACUUUGUGAAUAGGCUUUGGGUUGGAGAGUGAGUAAAAUCAUAUCUCUCUAUGCCAUCGCUGUGAAGCAAAAAGUCAGCUGCAAAUACAAAAACAUAAUAAUAAACACUUGGCCUCAAAUCAGGUAGGACUACCCGCUGAACUUAAGCAUAUCAAUAGGCGGGAGGAA
This 591-nucleotide unclassified non-coding RNA is filed under the name Hygrophorus sp. GL-2017. RNAcentral's name for it is "sequence contains 18S rRNA gene, ITS1, 5.8S rRNA gene, ITS2, 28S rRNA gene". The stretch from base 160 to 313 matches the Rfam family "5.8S ribosomal RNA". Lineage: Eukaryota; Fungi; Basidiomycota; Agaricomycetes; Agaricales; Hygrophoraceae. The record is from RNAcentral.